This 440-nucleotide ribosomal RNA is filed under the name uncultured bacterium. RNAcentral describes it as "partial 16S ribosomal RNA". It matches the Rfam family "Bacterial small subunit ribosomal RNA", at positions 338 to 795 of the family's 1533-position model. The record is from RNAcentral.
CCUACGGGAGGCUGCAGUGGGGAAUAUUGGACAAUGGGGGGAACCCUGAUCCAGCGACGCCGCGUGAGUGAAGAAGUAUUUCGGUAUGUAAAGCUCUAUCAGCAGGGAAGAAAAUGACGGUACCUGACUAAGAAGCCCCGGCUAACUACGUGCCAGCAGCCGCGGUCAUACGUAGGGGGCAAGCGUUAUCCGGAUUUACUGGGUGUAAAGGGAGCGUAGACGGUGCAGCAAGUCUGAUGUGAAAGGUCGGGGCCCAACCCCGGGACUGCAUUGGAAACUGUUGAACUGGAGUACAGGAGAGGUAAGCGGAAUUCCUAGUGUAGCGGUGAAAUGCGUAGAUAUUAGGAGGAACACCGGUGGCGAAGGCGGCCUGCUGGACUGUGACUGACGUUGAGGCCCGAAGGCGUGGGGAGCAAACAGGAUUAGAUACCCCUGUAGUC